AUUGAACGCUGGCGGCAUGCCUUACACAUGCAAGUCGAACGGCAGCACGGGAGCAAUCCUGGUGGCGAGUGGCGAACGGGUGAGUAAAGUAUCGGAACGCGCCCAGUCGUGGGGGAUAACGUAGCGAAAGUUACGCUAAUACCGCAUACGAUCUAUGGAUGAAAGCGGGGGAUCGCAAGACCUCGCGCGAUUGGAGCGGCCGAUAUCAGAUUAGGUAGUUGGUGGGGUAAAGGCUCACCAAGCCGACGAUCUGUAGCUGGUCUGAGAGGACGACCAGCCACACUGGGACUGGGACACGGCCCAGACUCCUACGGGAGGCAGCAGUGGGGAAUUUUGGACAAUGGGCGAAAGCCUGAUCCAGCCAUGCCGCGUGCAGGAUGAAGGCCUUCGUGUUGUAAACUGCUUUUGUACGGAACGAAAAGGUUUGGCCUAAUAAGCUGAGCUCAUGACGGUACCGUAAGAAUAAGCACCGGCUAACUACGUGCCAGCCGCCGCCGUAA
RNAcentral lists this ribosomal RNA (500 nucleotides) under uncultured bacterium. Its description in RNAcentral is "partial 16S ribosomal RNA". It matches the Rfam family "Bacterial small subunit ribosomal RNA", at positions 30 to 523 of the family's 1533-position model. The record is from RNAcentral.